This 295-nucleotide unclassified non-coding RNA is filed under the name Gigaspora margarita. RNAcentral describes it as "partial contains 5.8S ribosomal RNA, internal transcribed spacer 2, and large subunit ribosomal RNA". The stretch from base 239 to 295 matches the Rfam family "Eukaryotic large subunit ribosomal RNA", at positions 1 to 57 of the family's 3401-position model. Lineage: Eukaryota; Fungi; Glomeromycota; Glomeromycetes; Diversisporales; Gigasporaceae. The record is from RNAcentral.
GUGAAUCAUCAAAUUUUUGAACGCAAAUUGCACUCUCUUCGGAGAGUAUGCCUGUUUGAGGGUCAGCCUAAAAAAAAUCGUACAUCUUUGAUGUUGCGGAUCUGAGUAUUCCGAUUUUAUUAAUCGGUUACCUAAAAUUAUUUAUAUGUAAUGUGAAGCGUACUAAUUAUAGUCGCUAAUCAUUAUACUUAUUACAUUACAACCAAGUAUUUAGGUGGUGGUGUAUAAAUUAUGAGAAUGACCUCAAGUCAUGUGAGAGUACCCGCUGAACUUAAGCAUAUCAAUAAGCGGAGGA